Molecule: non-coding RNA, 31 nt
Filed under: Homo sapiens (human)
Lineage: Eukaryota; Metazoa; Chordata; Mammalia; Primates; Hominidae
Source: RNAcentral
GAACCCAUGAAGAAGCUCCCUGAUAGGUGCU